UGCGUAGGCGGACUAAUAAGUCAGUGGUGAAAUCUUUCGGCUCAACCGAGAAACUGCCAUUGAUACUGUCAGUCUUGAGUUCGGUUGAGGUAGGCGGAAUGUGUAAUGUAGCGGUGAAAUGCUUAGAUAUUACACAGAACACCAAUUGCGUAGGCAGCUUACUAGACCGACACUGACGCUGAGGCACGAAAGCGUGGGGAGCGAACAGGAUUAGAUACCCUGGUAGUCC
RNAcentral lists this ribosomal RNA (229 nucleotides) under uncultured bacterium. RNAcentral's name for it is "partial 16S ribosomal RNA". It matches the Rfam family "Bacterial small subunit ribosomal RNA", at positions 568 to 796 of the family's 1533-position model. The record is from RNAcentral.